UACCACUACUCGCAUCGUUUCCUUACUUACUCGGUGGUGCGGAGCGCGUGCCGUCUGGUCAGUGGUCGCGGGGCGGCGAUCACGUGCGCGGCACUCGGCCACGUUCUCCGCGUUGUGCGGCGUUCUCCUCGUGGGUUCGUCGUCGACGUCGGCGGGGUGUGUGUCGGGGCGUCGCGUCGUUCGCCGUUUUUUCGCGGCCCGUCGCGGCCUACGGUCACGAUCGAUUCCCGGUCGACUUAAGCGCGAUCAUCGCCGCCGGUAGCGCGACGCGGUCCACGCGCCCGCGCGUCGCUGUCGUCGUUCUUCGCGGGACGGCGCUCGGCGUCGGGCGCGCCCACGUCCGCCUGGCGACGUCGCGUGAUCCGAUCCGAGGACACCGCCAGGUGGGGAGUUUGACCGGGG
This 402-nucleotide ribosomal RNA is filed under the name Thalassionema nitzschioides. RNAcentral's name for it is "partial Eukaryotic large subunit ribosomal RNA". The record is from RNAcentral. Lineage: Eukaryota; Bacillariophyta; Fragilariophyceae; Thalassionematales; Thalassionemataceae.